GGGCGCCUUGUUGAUAAUAUGGCGGCGGGAGCUGCCCGGGCGUCUCGAGGAGGCGGCGGGGCCCACACCCGGAAGAAGCGGCUCCUGUCGGGCUAGUGCGGCAGCCGCUGCGCACCCGGAAGUCCGGGCCGGUUGCUGAAUGAGGGGAGCCGGGCCCUCCCCGCGCCAGUCCCCCCGCGCCCUCCGCCCCGACCCGGGCCCCGCCAUGUCCUUCUUCCGGCGGAAAGCCAGAGGCAGAGAGCAGGAGAAGACCUCGGACGUCCCGUCGGGGAAAGCUUCAAUAUCCGUACAUUCCCCACAAAAAAGCACCAAAAAUCAUGCCUUGCUGGAGGCUGCAGGACCAAGCCCCGUGGCGAUCAGUGCCAUCUCUGCCAACAUGGACUCCUUUUCCCGGAGCAGGACAGCCACGCUGAAGAAGCAGCCGAGCCACAUGGAGGCCGCUCAUUUCGGGGACCUGGGCAGAUCUUGUCUGGACUACCAGGCUCAAGAGACCAAAUCCAGCCUCUCGAAGACCCUUGAACAAGUCUUGCGCGACGCCGUCGUCCUCCCGUAUUUCAUUCAGUUCAUGGAACUUCGGAGAAUGGAGCAUUUGGUUAAGUUUUGGUUAGAGGCUGAAAGUUUCCACUCGACAACGUGGUCGCGAAUAAGAGCCCACAGUCUGAACACGGUGAAGCAGAGCUCAUUGGCGGAACCCGUCUCUCCAACUCAAAAGCGCGAAACUGCGGCUGCUUCUGUAACCGAGUCCCUUGACCAGAGGUUGGAGGAGUCGAGCUCCGCGCAGUUGCUCCUGACUCAGUCCGAAGGAAUCGGCGUGACUGACAGAACUGGCAACACUCAGAAUCACUUGCUGCUCUCCCCGGAAUGUGACGGCGCCCGUGCUCUCCACCCGGCAGCGGCCAGGACAGGGGCGCGUCGGGCUUCCCUGGAACCCCAGGAGUCCUGCAGACUUACCGUGGCCAGUAGAAAUAGUCCCUCUUCUCCACUGAAGGAGGUGUCAGGAAAAUUAAUGAAAAGCAUAGAACAAGAUGCAGUGAACACCUUUACCAAGUACAUAUCUCCGGAUGCUGCUAAACCAAUACCCAUCACAGAAGCCAUGAGAAAUGACAUCAUAGCGAAGAUUUGUGGAGAAGAUGGGCAGGUGGAUCCCAACUGCUUCGUUUUGGCACAGUCCAUAGUCUUCAGUGCAAUGGAGCAGGAGCACUUUAGUGAGUUUCUACGAAGUCACCAUUUCUGUAAAUACCAGAUUGAAGUGCUGACCAGUGGAACUGUUUACCUGGCUGACAUUCUCUUCUGUGAGUCAGCCCUCUUUUAUUUCUCUGAGUACAUGGAGAAAGAGGACGCGGUGAAUAUCUUACAGUUCUGGCUGGCAGCAGAUAACUUCCAGUCUCAGCUCGCGGCCAAGAAGGGCCAGUACGAUGGGCAGGAGGCCCAGAACGAUGCCAUGAUUUUGUACGACAAGUACUUCUCCCUCCAAGCCACACAUCCUCUUGGAUUCGAUGAUGUGGUCCGAUUAGAAAUCGAAUCCAACAUCUGCAGGGAAGGUGGGCCCCUGCCUAACUGCUUCACCACUCCAUUGCGUCAGGCCUGGACCACCAUGGAGAAGGUCUUUCUGCCUGGCUUUCUGUCCAGCAGCCUCUAUUACAAGUAUCUGAAUGAUCUCAUCCAUUCGGUGCGUGGAGAUGAGUUUCUGGGAGCGAGUGCUUCUCUGGCAGCUCAGGGCUCCGGCGGCCCCCCUGAUGACCCGCUGCCAGGGGCUUCGGACCCCUCGGCGUCCCAGUCCAGUGUGAAAAAAGCCAGUGUUAAAAUUCUGAAAAAUUUUGAUGAAGCAAUAAUUGUGGAUGCUGCAAGUCUGGACCCAGAAUCUUUAUAUCAACGGACAUAUGCAGGGAAAAUGACUUUUGGAAGAGUGAGUGACUUGGGGCAGUUCAUCCGAGAGUCGGAGCCUGAACCUGACGUCAAGAAAUCUAAAGGGUCCAUGUUCUCACAAGCGAUGAAGAAAUGGGUGCAAGGAAACAGUGACGAGGCCCAAGAGGAGCUGGCCUGGAAGAUUGCGAAAAUGAUCGUCAGUGACGUCAUGCAGCAGGCGCAGUGUGCUCAGCCAGGGGAGACGGCUGCCAAGAUACUGAUCUGCACACAUGGUGGGUGAAAAUGCCCAUCGCCAGGGAAAGAAGUACCAGAAAUUCCUAAGCUGAACAGUUCCCGGAACCGGGGGCUGGGAGUCACGGUCCUGCUGGCCAGUGUGGACAGAUUUUCUGAUGCACGGGGCGUUGGGUAGUAUCUUCCGGAACGUUGCGCCUCAGUACUGAAGCUGUGACUCAAGACUUGAGAUAAAGGAAGUCUGCUUUUGGAAAGUGAGAGAACUUUUUUCCUUUGGUUGGGUUCGUCUGCACAGCCGACGCGAACAGGGCCCUGUACUCUCCUUCCCACUGAUGAGUCACCGCUGUUCCCAGGAAAGACUGGCGGACAGUCCCGGACGCCCACCGUCCACGGGGCGCUCUGUGGGCGCGUCUGCUGCAUUCGGUGGCCCCAGUGAGCGGCAUGGAGGCACAGUGGUGUUUACACGGCCAGAGGGGUCGUCCUCACUGUCCGUGGGCGCGCUUUGCGCGUCCGCUGGAUAGACAGGGACACGCGGUGGGAGGCGGGAGCGCAGAGCCGGUAGCGGUGCCCACCCGGUACCAGCGACCCACCCCCAGCAGCCUCACCGGGCGGGUGCCCGAGGGGCCUCGCUGUCUCCUAACCAGACAGGUGAGCCAGCCCCUCCGAGAGCCACGUGGGGCGGCACGCCAGGUGGUUUUGCCUCCGAGGAACCGGCGACGGCUCCUGGCCUGUCUUCCUGCACGGCGGCGCUCCCUUGGAAGGAAGCUGACGGGUCACGGUCACAGGUCCAUCUUGGUGGCAUUGUCCUUCCCUCUGGUGACAGUGCACGGUUUUCAUUUCCUUCGCCCCUGAGCGGCAGUGUCCCUGAACCAGCUCUGCCCCGCUGCCAACAGGGCGAAGCUCCUGUCCUCUGCGUGUCAGGACGUGCCCCUCCGGGGUCCUGUGCUCCAGCUCCUUCACUGUCCUCCAGAGCACACACGGCCAGGAGGUGACGGCGGCCAGCACUCCAGUUUCCCCUGUGGUUCCUUGAACACAGUGUUUAUGCCCAGGUUGUACACGUUUUGGAAGGCGGGCCCCCCGCCCUCGGCUCUGACUGCCCUCCCCCUUGCUGUGCGCUGGGGGGCGUGCGGUUUGUGGCCUUUCCCCUCCGGCCUUGGGGCAGCGAGGCCCCGCUGCACCUCCGCCCACGUCAGCAGGGCCGCCCCGUCGGCCAGCACACUCCUCCGGCGGGCGUGCCAGCCUGGCCUCGCCUCACGGACUGUCCGGGAAAGGCCGUUCCCUUCGGUGUUACCGCUUCUGCUCAGACUUUGCAAAAAACAUACCUAUAAAUAUAUAAUUAUCAGUCACCCCUGUCCUUGAGAAAGUCUUGAAUGAAUAGAGAAUUUAUCCCACUGCAACAUUUGAUUGUACGGAGGCGCACUGUUUCAUCAACGGAAGAAGCAGAAAGGCUGUGUGUAAGUUUUGGGUACCGUGUACCACCUCUGUUAUUCUUCUAAAGCCAAGUAUUCAUGUACUUAAACCACAUUCUAUUUAAUUGUGUUUGAUUUUAAAAUAUAUAUAUAUAUAUGAAUUAUA
Molecule: RNA transcript, 3672 nt
Organism: Phacochoerus africanus (Common warthog)
Lineage: Eukaryota; Metazoa; Chordata; Mammalia; Artiodactyla; Suidae
Gene: AKAP10
Gene name: A-kinase anchoring protein 10
Exons: 16
Source: RefSeq, a predicted model, not a curated record